UCCUUCUAAUCUCUCACCAUCCAUAAAUAGAAGGUUCAACAUCUUUACACUCCAGUUUUGUUUGAAAUUUCAUGGUGAAUAGUUCUCUUAUCAUCUCUUCAAUGAAAAUAUACCUAUUUUUGAUACUGUGUAUCAUGACAGAUUGCUUGGCGGAAGUCCCAAAUGAUGAAAAAACUUCACGUGAUAUUUUUACACCACGAAAGGGAAAGCAUCAUUUACUAUAUUCGAGGAAGAAAACUGGCUACAGCGAGGUUUAUUUCAAUCCCCUUCACAGUGUCGGAUUUUUAGGUGGACUCCAGGGUUUAAUUGCAUUCGUUAUUCUUAAAAUUAAAAUUGUACUCGUUGUGAUUACGAUAAUUGGGGCAACGGUAUUGGCGUUAAAACUCCUCGGUAUAUUUAAAUAUUCAAAUUAUGUUUAUAAAAGUAAUUAUCCGAUCAUCGAGGGACCACCGACAUUUGAAUAUGGAAGUCCGUUCACUCAUGAUCAUAAAGUGAAUGAGUGGUCGUCACCGUCGCCAUAUGAUCGAGUUGGUUCAAGGGAAUUGGUGAAUGAAUUUCUUUUAAAAGCAGAGGAAAUUAUGAUACCAUGGAUUAAUUUUUCCAAUAAAGAGUGCCGCAAUCGCAUCAUCUGUCAAUUUACGGUGUUAAUGAAUUCACCGUUGGAUUUCAGGGAAUGCACCAAAAUUUACCCUGACUGUUCCGAAGUUCCUGGAAAAAAGGGCGGAGACCCCAGUGGAUUAAUUUAAUAAAAAAAUUGUAAAUGAAUGGUGUAUUUAAUUUAAUAAAUCAUAUAACUCUUUAUUCCAUGAAAAUUA
Long non-coding RNA from Diachasmimorpha longicaudata, 815 nucleotides. RefSeq lists it as uncharacterized. The record is from RefSeq and is a predicted model, not a curated record. The transcript is spliced from 5 exons. NCBI's taxonomy places the organism in Eukaryota, Metazoa, Arthropoda, Insecta, Hymenoptera, Braconidae.